CCUACGGGAGGCAGCAGUGGGGAAUAUUGCGCAAUGGGCGAAAGCCUGACGCAGCGACGCAGCGUGAGGGAUGAAGGUCUUCGGAUCGUAAACCUCUGUCAGCAGGGAAGAACGGUCACUGUGCUAAUCAGCAGUGAAUUGACGGUACCUGCAAAGGAAGCACCGGCUAACUCCGUGCCAGCAGCCGCGGUAAUACGGAGGGUGCGAGCGUUAAUCGGAAUUACUGGGCGUAAAGCGCUCGUAGGCGGUAUGUCAAGUCAAGGGUGAAAGCCCCGCGCUCAACGUGGGAACUGCCGUUGAAACUGGCAAACUGGAGUGUGUGAGAGGAUAGUGGAAUUCCAGGUGUAGGAGUGAAAUCCGUAGAUAUCUGGAGGAACAUCAGUGGCGAAGGCGACUAUCUGGCACAUAACUGACGCUGAGGAGCGAAAGCGUGGGUAGCAAACAGGAUUAGAUACCCGGGUAGUC
Molecule: ribosomal RNA, 465 nt
Filed under: uncultured bacterium
Lineage: Bacteria
Description: partial 16S ribosomal RNA
Rfam family: Bacterial small subunit ribosomal RNA
Source: RNAcentral